This 482-nucleotide ribosomal RNA is filed under the name uncultured bacterium. RNAcentral describes it as "bacterial SSU rRNA". It matches the Rfam family "Bacterial small subunit ribosomal RNA", at positions 29 to 506 of the family's 1533-position model. The record is from RNAcentral.
UUGAACGCUGGCGGCAUGCCUUACACAUGCAAGUCGAACGGCAGCACGGGAGCAAUCCUGGUGGCGAGUGGCGAACGGGUGAGUAAUAUAUCGGAACGUGCCCAAUCGUGGGGGAUAACGCAGCGAAAGCUGUGCUAAUACCGCAUACGAUCUACGGAUGAAAGCGGGGGACCUUCGGGCCUCGCGCGAUUGGAGCGGCUGAUGUCGGAUUAGCUAGUUGGUGGGGUAAAGGCCUACCAAGGCGACGAUCCGUAGCGGGUCUGAGAGGAUGAUCCGCCACACUGGGACUGAGACACGGCCCAGACUCCUACGGGAGGCAGCAGUGGGGAAUUUUGGACAAUGGGGGCAACCCUGAUCCAGCCAUGCCGCGUGAGUGAAGAAGGCCUUCGGGUUGUAAAGCUCUUUCAGACGGAAAGAAAACGCAUCGGUGAAUACCCGGUGUGGAUGACGGUACCGUAAGAAGAAGCACCGGCUAACUACGU